UAUAGGGAGUGGAGCUCUUGAGAGAGAGAGGGGCUGCAGGAGACAGCCCAGCAGGCACCUAAACCACCCAUGAGAGGUAGGAGUAUAGGGAUCUAAAGUGCCAGUCAACUAAGUUUAGAAGUUGCAGUACUUAAGUGGAGGAAUGGAUGGGACCAAUCUGGAUCAGAUCUGUAGUAACUACUACCCAACAAUUUGAUAACAUACAAAAUUACCUGGACAGGAAGACAGACGGAGAGAGAACAUUAGACUUGUUUCAUAUCUCAAUACCACGAAUUUAUUACUACAAAACUGAUAUAGCACAAAAUCCCUCUGUGUAUGUACAUGUGUGCAUUCAUCUUUGCUUACAUGGCCUUUACAAUUAAUUCACACAAUUAAGGAAAAUAAAAUAUGUGACACACCCAGAUCCUGGAUGCAGUCAGGUGUGCCUUUGAGACAUACUCUUGGGAUGUUCUCAGAGUACCAAAACCUUCUCUGCCAUCUGCUGCUUGACCAGUGAGAAGCAACUAAGUCCUGACCAGUGGUGCAUCAGCUUUACC
Alligator sinensis (Chinese alligator) is the source of this 536-nucleotide long non-coding RNA. RefSeq lists it as uncharacterized. Lineage: Eukaryota; Metazoa; Chordata; Crocodylia; Alligatoridae. The record is from RefSeq and is a predicted model, not a curated record. The transcript is spliced from 3 exons.